CUCAGUGUAAAUUAUAAGGUUUGGUAAUUCAGUAUAUUUAUGGGAUGCUUAUCUGAUUGGCAUGUGUUAGAUCCGUGUUGAUUAUUAAGUAUACUAUGGUUUGUUUAAUGUUUCAGUAUAUUAACUUAAUAUAAAUAUAGACACAUAUAGUACUGGAUUUAAUGUGGACAACAGUUGGUUUCCAUCACCUUUCACGUAUUUCUGUUAUUUUCAGCGUAAUCAUCAUAGAUGGAUUCGACAAGAUAAAGCUGGAAGGUUUCAAGUUUGGUUUCAAGUUAUGCGCUACACGUUACCCAGGACUGUUAUUUGAAUUCCCUGACGUUAUAAUAG
Non-coding RNA from Pelobates cultripes (western spadefoot toad), 330 nucleotides. Lineage: Eukaryota; Metazoa; Chordata; Amphibia; Anura; Pelobatidae. The record is from the annotation of a GenBank genome assembly.